GGUUGGCUUAGAAGCAGUCAUCCUUUAAAGAGUGCGUAACAGCUCACUAGUCAAGUGAUUCUGCGCCGAAGACACCCGGGGCUCAAGCAUAUUACCGAAAUUAUGGAUUCUAUGGUAGUCAAACAUAGAGUGGUAGAGGAGCGUUCCUGCCGCACUGAAGGCAUACCGUAAGGAGUGCUGGAGUUGCAGGAAGUGAGAAUGUCGGAAUAAGUAGCGAUAAGAGAGGUGAAAAUCCUCUCCGCCGAAAACCUAAGGUUUCCUUGAGUAAAGUUCGUCUGCUCAGGGUUAGUCGAUCCUAAGCCGAGGUCGAAAGACGUAGGCGAUGGGUAUCCGGUUAAUAUUCCGGAACUAUCUUUGGUGCGCAUAAUGUGUUCGGCUACGCUUUUCAGUAGGUCAUCAUACGAUUGGAAGUGUAUGUUGCCCUCCGCGAGGGGGGGAGGACCUGAGGUAAACUCGGGGAACUGACUGUAUGAAAAGCCAAGAAAAACCCGGACACCUGUGCCAGAGGUAAACGUACCGCAAACGGACACACGUAGGUGGGGUGAAAAUCCUAAGGCGCGCGAGAUAACUUUCGUUUAGGAACUCGGCAUAUUAGCCCCGUAACUUCGGGAUAAGGGGUGCCUGUGGCAACACAGGUCGCAGUGAAAUGGCCCUCGUGACUGUUUAACAAAAACACAGGACUCUGCUGAAAUCGCAAGAUGAUGUAUAGGGUCUGACGCCUGCCCGGUGCUGGAAGGUCAAGGGGAGGAGUUAGCGCAAGUGAAGCUCUGAACUUAAGCCCCAGUAAACGGCGGCCGUAACUAUAACGGUCCUAAGGUAGCGAAAUUCCUUGUCGGGUAAGUUCCGACCUGCACGAAUGGCGUAACAAAGAGGGCACUGUCUCAACGAAAGACUCGGCGAAAUUGUGGUACCCGUGAAGACGCGGGUUGCCUGCGGCUAGACGAAAAGACCCCGUGGAGCUUUACUGUAUCUUAGUCUUGAAUUAUGGAAGUAAAUGCGUAGAAUAGGCGGGACCCUUUGAGGCAUGGCUUUCGGGUUGUGCAGAGGGGCAAUGUGAAAUACCGCUCUUUUAGUUUUGUGAUUCUAACUCUUGUGUUUGAAUCAACAAGGAGAACAUGGCUAGGUGGGCAGUUUAACUGGGGCGGUUGCCUCCUAAAUAGUAACGGAGGCGUUCAAAGGUACCCUCAGGACCAAUAGAAAUGGUCUAUAGAGUGCAAGUGCAGAAGGGUGCUUAACUGCAAGACAAACAGGUCGAGCAGAUGCGAAAGCAGGAACUAGUGAUCCGGCGGUUCAGUGUGGAAUUGCCGUCGCUCAACGAAUAAAAGCUACCCCGGGGAUAACAGGCUUAUUUUCUCCGAGAGUCCAUAUCGACGAGAAAGUUUGGCACCUCGAUGUCGGCUCAUCCCAUCCUGGGGCUGGAGUAGGUCCCAAGGGUUUGGCUGUUCGCCAAUUAAAGGGGUACGCGAGCUGGGUUCAGUACGUCGUGAGACAGUACGGUCUCUAUCUACCGUGGGCGCAGGAAACUUGAGAGGACUCGUUCUUAGUACGAGAGGACCGGAAUGAACAUACCUCUGGUGUUUCGGUUGUUCCGCCAGGAGCAUUGCCGAGUAGCCAAGUAUGGAUGAGAUAAACACUGAAAGCAUAUAAGUGUGAAACUCACCUCAAGAUAAGGUUUCCCCGAAGGGCACUUGUAGACUACAAGUUUGAUAGGCUGGAAGUGGAAGUACAGUAAUGUACGUAGCUAACCAGUACUAAUUGCCCGUCUGGCUUGGUCGC
The sequence is a ribosomal RNA, 1776 nucleotides long. It matches the Rfam family "Bacterial large subunit ribosomal RNA", at positions 1099 to 2925 of the family's 2925-position model. The record is from Rfam.